UUAAAAAGGAUGAAAGGAGGCAAGGCGAUGGGCCCUGAUUGUAUCCCCAUUGAGGUGUGGAAAGGUCUCGGGGACAUAGCGAUAGUAUGGCUAACCAAGAUUUUCAACCUCAUUUUUCGGGCAAACAAGAUGCCAGAAGAAUGGAGACGGAGUAUAUUAGUACCAAUCUUCAAGAACAAGGGGGAUGUUCAGAGUUGUACUAAUUACCGUGGAAUUAAGCUGAUGAGCCAUACAAUGAAGCUAUGGGAGAGAGUCAUUGAGCACCGCUUAAGAAGAAUGACAAGCGUGACCAAAAAUCAGUUUGGUUUCAUGCCUGGGAGGUCGACCAUGGAAGCCAUUUUCUUGGUACGACAACUUAUGGAGAGAUAUAGGGAGCAUAAGAAGGACUUGCAUAUGGUGUUCAUUGACUUGGAGAAGGCCUAUGAUAAGAUACCGCGGAAUGUCAUGUGGUGGGCCUUGGAGAAACACAAAGUCCCAGCAAAGUAUAUUACCCUCAUCAAGGACAUGUACAAUAAUGUUGUGACAAGUGUUCGAACAAGUGAUGUCGACACCAAUGACUUCCCGAUUAAGAUAGGACUGCAUCAGGGGUCAGCUUUGAGCCCUUAUCUUUUUGCAUUGGUGAUGGAUGAGGUCACAAGGGGUAUACAAGGAGAUAUACCAUGGUGUAUGCUCUUUGCGGAUGAUGUGGUACUAGUUGACGAUAGUCGGAUGGGGGUAAAUAGGAAGUUAGAGUUAUGGAGACAAACCUUGGAAUCGAAAGGGUUUAGGCUUAGUAGAACUAAAACCGAGUACAUGAUGUGCGGUUUCAGUACUACUAGCUGUGAGGAGGAGGAGGUUAGCCUUGAUGGCCAGGUGGUACCUCGGAAGGACACCUUU
This 876-nucleotide ribosomal RNA is filed under the name Triticum aestivum (bread wheat). RNAcentral describes it as "partial small subunit ribosomal RNA". The record is from RNAcentral. Lineage: Eukaryota; Viridiplantae; Streptophyta; Magnoliopsida; Poales; Poaceae.